CAUGCAAGUCGAACGAUGAACCGGUGCUUGCACUGGGGAUUAGUGGCGAACGGGUGAGUAACACGUGAGUAACCUGCCCUUAACUCUGGGAUAAGCCUUGGAAACGAGGUCUAAUACUGGAUAUUGACUUUUCCUCGCAUGGGGAUUGGUUGAAAGAUUUAUUGGUUUUGGAUGGACUCGCGGCCUAUCAGCUUGUUGGUGAGGUAAUGGCUCACCAAGGCGACGACGGGUAGCCGGCCUGAGAGGGUGACCGGCCACACUGGGACUGAGACACGGCCCAGACUCCUACGGGAGGCAGCAGUGGGGAAUAUUGCACAAUGGGCGAAAGCCUGAUGCAGCGACGCCGCGUGAGGGAUGACGGCCUUCGGGUUGUAAACCUCUUUCAGUAGGGAACAAGGCCAGACGUUGUCUGGUUGAGGGUACUUGCAGAAGAAGCGCCGGCUAACUACGUGCCAGCAGCCGCGGUAAUACGUAGGGCGCAAGCGUUAUCCGGAAUUAUUGGGCGUAAAGAGCUCGUAGGCGGUUUGUCGCGUCUGCCGUGAAAGUCCGGGGCUCAACUCCGGAUCUGCGGUGGGUACGGGCAGACUAGAGUGAUGUAGGGGAGACUGGAAUUCCUGGUGUAGCGGUGAAAUGCGCAGAUAUCAGGAGGAACACCGAUGGCGAAGGCAGGUCUCUGGGCAUUAACUGACGCUGAGGAGCGAAAGCAUGGGGAGCGAACAGGAUUAGAUACCCUGGUAGUCCAUGCCGUAAACGUUGGGCACUAGGUGUGGGGGACAUUCCACGUUUUCCGCGCCGUAGCUAACGCAUUAAGUGCCCCGCCUGGGGAGUACGGCCGCAAGGCUAAAACUCAAAGGAAUUGACGGGGGCCCGCACAAGCGGCGGAGCAUGCGGAUUAAUUCGAUGCAACGCGAAGAACCUUACCAAGGCUUGACAUGAACUGGAAACGCUUGGAAACAAGUGCCCCGCUUGCGGUCGGUUUACAGGUGGUGCAUGGUUGUCGUCAGCUCGUGUCGGGAAAUGUUGGGUAAGUCCCGCAACGAGCGAACC
RNAcentral lists this ribosomal RNA (1047 nucleotides) under Arthrobacter alpinus. RNAcentral describes it as "bacterial SSU rRNA". It matches the Rfam family "Bacterial small subunit ribosomal RNA", at positions 54 to 1102 of the family's 1533-position model. Lineage: Bacteria; Bacillati; Actinomycetota; Actinomycetes; Micrococcales; Micrococcaceae. The record is from RNAcentral.